CGGCGUGCUUAACACAUGCAAGUCGAACGGUGAAGCAGAGCUUGCUCUGUGGAUCAGUGGCGAACGGGUGAGUAACACGUGAGCAAUCUGCCCCUGACUCUGGGAUAAGCGCUGGAAACGGCGUCUAAUACCGGAUACGAGCUGCGACCGCAUGGUCAGUAGCUGGAAAGAAUUUCGGUCAGGGAUGAGCUCGCGGCCUAUCAGCUUGUUGGUGAGGUAAUGGCUCACCAAGGCGUCGACGGGUAGCCGGCCUGAGAGGGUGACCGGCCACACUGGGACUGAGACACGGCCCAGACUCCUACGGGAGGCAGCAGUGGGGAAUAUUGCACAAUGGGCGCAAGCCUGAUGCAGCAACGCCGCGUGAGGGAUGACGGCCUUCGGGUUGUAAACCUCUUUUAGCAGGGAAGAAGCGAAAGUGACGGUACCUGCAGAAAAAGCGCCGGCUAACUACGUGCCAGCAGCCGCGGUAAUACGUAGGGCGCAAGCGUUAUCCGGAAUUAUUGGGCGUAAAGAGCUCGUAGGCGGUCUGUCGCGUCUGCUGUGAAAACCCGAGGCUCAACCUCGGGCCUGCAGUGGGUACGGGCAGACUAGAGUGCGGUAGGGGAGAUUGGAAUUCCUGGUGUA
Molecule: ribosomal RNA, 624 nt
Filed under: Microbacterium paludicola
Lineage: Bacteria; Bacillati; Actinomycetota; Actinomycetes; Micrococcales; Microbacteriaceae
Description: bacterial SSU rRNA
Rfam family: Bacterial small subunit ribosomal RNA
Source: RNAcentral